This 524-nucleotide ribosomal RNA is filed under the name uncultured eukaryote. RNAcentral's name for it is "SSU rRNA". It matches the Rfam family "Eukaryotic small subunit ribosomal RNA", at positions 21 to 549 of the family's 1831-position model. The record is from RNAcentral.
UAGUCAUAUGCUUGUCUCAAAGAUUAAGCCAUGCAUGUCUAAGUAUAAACUGCUUUAUACUGUGAAACUGCGAAUGGCUCAUUAAAUCAGUUAUAGUUUAUUUGAUGGUACUUACUUACUCGGAUACCCGUAGUAAUUCUAGAGCUAAUACGUGCGUACAUCCCGACUUCUGGAAGGGACGUAUUUAUUAGAUAAAAGGCCGACCGGGCUUGCCCGACUCGCGGUGACUCAUGAUAACUUCACGAAUCGCAUGGCCUUGCGCCGGCGAUGUUUCAUUCAAAUUUCUGCCCUAUCAACUUUUGAUGGUAGGAUAGAGGCCUACCAUGGUGGUAACGGGUGACGGAGAAUUAGGGUUCGAUUCCGGAGAGGGAGCCUGAGAAACGGCUACCACAUCCAAGGAAGGCAGCAGGCGCGCAAAUUACCCAAUCCUGAUACAGGGAGGUAGUGACAAUAAAUAACAAUACCGGGCCUUUGGUCUGGUAAUUGGAAUGAGUACAACCUAAACACCUUAACGAGGAUCAAUU